RNAcentral lists this long non-coding RNA (2916 nucleotides) under Homo sapiens (human). RNAcentral's name for it is "HSALNT0323026". The record is from RNAcentral. Lineage: Eukaryota; Metazoa; Chordata; Mammalia; Primates; Hominidae.
GGGCAUUUUUAUGUCAAUAGAUUGGAAUGUUUCUCUCCUCACUGGGAAAAGCUCCUUUGGUCUCAGUGAACUCAGAGGUGGAGAAAGUCAUAAGAAUCAGGGAGCCUGCCCCAAAUUGCCUCCUAUGAUAACUUUCCACAAAGACUGGAGGGGAGGCUUCAAACAUCUUCCUGCAGUGUCCAGCAAGACAGCGAGGCAGACUCCCUUUCUCCUGCCAAAGCCACGUGGAGCCAGACAGAACCACAAGCAUACCUGUGGUGCUUGGAGGCCCAAGUAGAAACUUGAAUGCUCACGGCUGCAUUGGCAGCUUCUACUUGCCUGCCUGGAUCACCGUUCCUCAUGAGAACUUGGAAAAGCAGGACUAUCAUUCUUGCUUGACAGACGAAGAAACCAAGCCUCAGUUUUGUAGGCUCCUACCAGUGAAAGCCUCCUCACAACUCUCUUCUUCUCCCCAAGGACUGCGUGCAAUUCUACUUGGAGAUCUUCAUAACACCUUAAGGGAAAAAUCCUUUUUGAAAGAAAAACAAGUCUGGGUGGUGCUUGAAAAUUCAGAAGGCAGCUAGAAACUCUGCCAAUUACAACUAUUUACAACUUCAGGGAGACAAAGGAAACUCCAGCUCAUCUCCCACAUCAUUGAUUGAGAGGACCAUUUUCUGACUGUCUGCACACUGGUGCUUCGUGAACCCUGGAUGCUACAGUCUCUGGCCACAGCACUAAAUGUAUGCUGAGAUCUGGCUUCACGGUCGAGGGUGUUGCUGGUUUUCAAUGUGCCUGACAUAGGAUCAAUGGUGAAUGCACCAGAAGCCUCAUCAGUCAGAAAAUACUCAGUUUGCCCAUUCAGGCCUUCAUCCUUGUCCACAGCUGAAAGCACAAGAACCACUGUUCCCACUUCAGCAUCUUCUCUCACAGAGGACUGGUAAUAAAGUGUGGGAAAAGAAGGACUGUGGUCAUUGGCAUCCAAAACUCUAACUUGCAGGUGUAUUACAGAGCUCCUAGGUGGAUCUCCCAGGUCAGAGCACAGAAUGACAAGGGUAAAAUUGCUGAUUUGCUCCCGGUCCAAAGCACGAGUGGUUGAGAGUUCUCCUGACAUCUCAUUUAUAGUAAAGCACUCAUCAGUAUUUCCAUCUAUUAAAGAAAACAAUUACAAAUUCAUUUGAAUUGAAAAAGUAGCAGCUCUUUGCUAGCACUAUCUAUGGUAUUCAUUUAUACAUUCAUUAAAAAUAUAUUUAUUCCCGAUUAUAUUGUAUCCUAGCACUUUUGUAAAUAUUGGGGAUAUAACAGUAAGCAUGAUAAAGGCUCUGCCCUCAUGAAACUUCUAUUGAGGGGAUAAACAGAAUAAUAUGAUUCAAUGCCUAUCUUUAAUCAGUCAAUAAUUAGAACACUUGCUUUCACUAAUUUGCAGCCGUAUGAUUUUUUGUGUGCAUCUACAACUUUUAAUUUUAAUAUAUUUUUCCUCAUAAGAGGAUGAAGAUAUAUGUUUUAUUUAACACAAAACAAUAGAUGAGGAUAAAAAAAACAGAAUAUAAUGUCCUUUUUUAAGAUAUCAAUCAGAAAUGAACAGAUUUGAUUUGUAGUUAUUUUCUCAAAUAGUACCCACUACAGUAUUCAUGCCUGUUAUACUAUUGCAGUAAGCCUUCUCUUCUACAUGUCCACAGCAUUUUGUACAAGAAUCAUAACACUUUGGUUAGAGUUAGUUGGACACUUGACUAUUUCUUCCAAAACAUAAAUAAGGACAUUGUUCUAUUCAUCUAUUCCUUAAAAAAAAUCUGCCCUUUAUUAUAUUCCAUCGUAUCAAGUAGAAUAAAACUUAAAAUUGAACACAGGGACAAAAAGCUUUCAAAGACAUUUUUAAAUAACCCUGAAAAUUAGUGAAGAAAAAUGUGGUUCAUAUGCUUGCCAGCCAUAUUCUUGGAUGAAGAGCAGGCCCAAUAGUGUGGGAACUUACUAGAGUCUGCAUAUCAGAGGCAUAUGAGGACCAAGUGGAAUGGCAUUCAAAGGAAACAACAGCAAUAGGUAGCUUUAGGGAGGAGGAGAGGGCCCUGCAUUUGUAUUCAUGAGGAACAGUUAAUUUACACCAAAAGUAGAGAUGAUUGGACAAACCCACAUUUCUGUAGUAUUUGUGGCUGAUAAAGUGAUUCAGUCAUUCAGCAAACAUUUGAUGAGCAUCUACUAUGUGCCAAGUUUGUGCUCAAGAUCACAGAUAUGAAGGGAGUAAGACAUGACCUAGCUCCAAGAGUUCACAGUCUAAAAGGAAAGGCUGGUCAAUACUCGGGUAUUAAAGUACCAUGUGAAAAUCAUAUGUACAGAGUGCUAAAUGAGUACAUAUAGAUAGUGCUAGCCAAGGGGUGCUAUUUCUCUGAGAAGUACAGAGAAAGGGCACAUAGUCCUAUGUUAGUAAGUUCAAGAAAUGCUUAUUGGAAAAAGUGACAUCAAAUCUCACUCCUAAAGUGGAGAAAGCCAUACUACAAGUUUUGGGGAGAGUGUUCUAUGCAGAGGAAAGAGCCCGUGGGAAGUUCUAGGAAUAUAAGAAUUAACAGGCUGCAAAUGUUUGGGUGUGACUAGUACACAGGGUUCCUGGGUGUUUGUAUGUGGCAAGUAGGAAAAGGGCUGGCAGUAGCGGUAGAGGAAAGACAUGAAUUUGGGAGGUAAGCAGGGGGUCAAAUUGUGAAGGGCUCUCUGUAUACUGCUGAAGAUUCUAUAGUUUCUCCUGAAAUCCAUGAGGGAGCCCCCUGAAGGAUUUUGGACAGGAAAGUGUCAUGAAUCAAAUUUCUAUUUUAAGAAUAGUAUCGAGGCAGCAAUGUCAAAGUUUGUUUAGAAAAUAGGAUGGUUCCUGUAAUCCCAGAACUUUUGGAGACCAAGGCGGGAGGAUUGCUUGAGUCCAGGAAUUUGAGUCCAGCCUGGGCAACAUAGUGAGAC